GCAGGGUUGUCCCGCGGCUAUGACAACCCCCCCCCCGCGGGGCGGGGCGGGGCGGACGGGGGUCAAGCAUUGGCCCCUCCCUCAGACGGGGGAGGGGGGACAGGAGGCUGAAGAAGGAGCAAGGAAUUCAGGACCGAAAACCUAUUACACACUCAGUCUAUUUUUUGGCUGGUAUUAGCUACUCUUGUGCUACCAUUUGGCAUUCCAUGAAAAGGAUCUCUUACAUCUGAGCUGAAUGCUGUAAUUGUAUGCUGAAUGCUAUAAUUGUAUGCAAUAAAUGUGUUGGGUCAUCAGGAAUCAUAAACAAGAGAGCUUUUAUUUUAAAAAAGAUGUCACUUUCCAGAACAUUCACCUGCUUCCUACUUGAUUAUCAGUGAUCUGCCAUGGAGUAGCUGCUGUGACUGAUUGUAUAACCUACUGAAGACAACCAUCGUAGCAGUUGAAUGUGCUCCUGUGGCUGUAUCUGCACACGAUCCUGGCUCCUCAGGGUUGCCUGGCCAGGAUGAGAGCACUUUCAGAACUGCAGAAGGGGCUGCACUGCUCAUCUGUAAGCAGAUAUCAUCUUGUGUGUGAACCUUGUGGCUGGAGGGAUGGGUGACUGAUGCCCUUAUUACUGUGUCUGUGUGUAUUGUUUGUUUAUUUUACAGCUUCCAAAGUGCACUGGCCUCUGCUCCAGUGGCAGCAGGGGUCAAUGCCUUUAUUAGGCUGUAGCUAGAGGAGAAUGAUAUCUACCCCUAGGGUACUGCUAGAAGUCAUCUCAUUUGAUAGGACCUGAAGCAAUCCUUAGUUAAGGAGAGAUGAAGUCCCCUAGAAAUAAUCCAGCUGACAUGGGUAAACAGCUCUAUAAAGGUCUAGUGCAUGAGAUGAAAGGCCUGGCCAACAUCAGUCCCCCAGAGUCCGAUGAUUCCUAUGUCAGCCCCAGAGACAGGCAGUGGAGGGAGCUUGGUGCCAACCCUGUCCCUUUUUCAGCCUUCACUCUUACCGUACGGUUGCUGAGCAGUCUUGCAGAAACUACCAAAGACUUGAGCUUUGCUCCUUGUGCUUCUGUAACUUCUUUGUAGGCCAGAUCCCCAGCUGGUGUAAGUCAGUAUACUUCCACUACAUCAAUUCCUCCAAAGAGAUCAAAGCAUACCAGACAUAAUCUGUUCUGCCAUUUCUUGCCUCUUUGUCAGAUUCAAAUCAGUUCAUUUUGCAGUGAAGGAAAGCAUGGACUGCUGUUUGCAUCAGCCUCAAGGCUGGGGCUGGUGAUGCAAGAGAACACUUUUCCUAUAUCAGUUUUCAUUUGCUGGAGUCACAUUGGCUUAGUCAGCAUUGCAUCUGCACUGCCUCCGAAAGGAGAAAAACAAUGAAAACAUCAUUGGUUUAAGAUUAGAGUGCACACAGCAAAAGCCAGUGCUUCACCUUUUAACUUUACCGUUUACAUACUUUUACUGACUCAACUCCACCAGCUGGUG
Long non-coding RNA from Dermochelys coriacea (leatherback sea turtle), 1454 nucleotides. RefSeq lists it as uncharacterized. NCBI's taxonomy places the organism in Eukaryota, Metazoa, Chordata, Testudines, Dermochelyidae. The record is from RefSeq and is a predicted model, not a curated record. The transcript has 3 exons.